UACGGAGGAUGCAAGCGUUAUCCGGAAUGAUGGUGCGUAAAGCGUCCGCAGGUGGCUGUGUAAGUCUGCUGUUAAAGAGUGAGGCUCAACCUCAUAAAGGCAGUGGAAACUACAUGGCUAGAGUGCGUUCGGGGCAGAGGGAAUUCCUGGAUGUAGCGGUGAAAUGCGUAGAUAUCUGGAGGAAUACCGGUGGCGAAGGCGGCAUCCUGGACCGGCAUUGACGACUGAGGAGGCGAAAAGCCAGGGGAGCAAACGGG
Molecule: ribosomal RNA, 257 nt
Filed under: uncultured bacterium
Lineage: Bacteria
Description: partial 16S ribosomal RNA
Rfam family: Bacterial small subunit ribosomal RNA
Source: RNAcentral